Molecule: ribosomal RNA, 468 nt
Filed under: uncultured bacterium
Lineage: Bacteria
Description: partial 16S ribosomal RNA
Rfam family: Bacterial small subunit ribosomal RNA
Source: RNAcentral
GAUGAACGCUGGCGGCGUGCUUAACACAUGCAAGUCGAACGGAAAGGCCCUGAUUUUUUGUGGUGCUCGAGUGGCGAACGGGUAAGUAACACGUGAGUAACCUGCCCUUGAUUUUGGGAUAACUUCAGGAAACUGGGCCUAAUACCGGACAGGAGAUCCCCUUGCAUGGUAGGGGUUGGAAAGUUUCGGCGGUUGGGGAUGGACUCGCGGCUUAUGAGCUUGUUGGUGGGGUAGUGGCUUACCAAGACUUUGACCGGUAGCCGGCCUGAGAGGGUGACCGGCCACAUUGGGACUGAGAUACGGCCCCGACUCCGACGGGAGGCAGAAGUGGGGAAGAUUGCACAAUGGGCGGAAGCCUGAUGCAGCAACGCCGCGUGCGGGAUAACGGCCUUCGGGUUGUAAACCGCUUUCACCUUUGACGAAGCGUGAGUGACGGUAAUGGAUAAAGAAGCACCGGCUAAGUACGUG